This 783-nucleotide ribosomal RNA is filed under the name Ctenophora environmental sample. RNAcentral describes it as "partial Bacterial large subunit ribosomal RNA". It matches the Rfam family "Bacterial large subunit ribosomal RNA", at positions 590 to 1370 of the family's 2925-position model. Lineage: Eukaryota; Metazoa; Ctenophora. The record is from RNAcentral.
UCCGUGACGGCGUGCCUUUUGCAUAAUGAGCCUACGAGUUACCGUUGCUAGCAAGGUUAAGUACUUAAGGUACGGAUCCGUAGCGAAAGCGAGUCUGAACAGGGCGCUUUAGUUAGUAGUGGUAGACGCGAAACCGUGUGAUCUACCCAUGGGCAGGGUGAAGCUGUGGUAACACACAGUGGAGGCCCGAACCGGUUGACGUUGAAAAGUCUUCGGAUGACCUGUGGGUAGGGGUGAAAGGCCAAUCAAACUCGGAAAUAGCUCGUACUCCCCGAAAUGCAUUUAGGUGCAGCGUCGGUUUAGUUUUAUAGAGGUAGAGCUACUGAUUGGAUGCGGGGGCUUCACCGCCUACCAAUUCCUGACAAACUCCGAAUGCUAUAAAAUGAUGACCGGCAGUGAGGGCAUGGGUGCUAAGGUCCAUGUCCGAGAGGGAAAGAACCCAGACCAUCAGCUAAGGUCCCUAAAUAUAUGUUAAGUUGAAUAAACGAGGUGAAACUGCUUAGACAGCUAGGAUGUUGGCUUGGAAGCAGCCAUUCAUUUAAAGAGUGCGUAACAGCUCACUAGUCGAGCGGUUUUGCAUGGAUAAUAAUCGGGCAUAAACAUAUUACCGAAGCUAUGGAUUUGUAUUAUAUACAAGUGGUAGGGGAGCAUUGUAACCUGCGUAGAAGGUGUGCUGUAAGGCAUGCUGGAGUGGUUACAAAAGAAAAUGUAGGCAUAAGUAACGAUAAAGGGGGCGAGAAACCCCCUCACCGAAAGACUAAGGUUUCCUCAGCGAUGCUAAUC